UGACCUCAGAGUGAAAGCCACCCUCCUGUGGCCUUUGUGGUUCCUACCACAUACCACGUGGACCCAUAGCUCAGUCCCUGCCCCUUCUUCCUUCCUCCCCACCUCUCCCAGAUCUGAAAUCAACACAGACCUCUGAGGGCACAAGCAAAAUGGACUAGUCAUGGCUGUGCUGCUCCUGUCUGAGGUUACGUAGCUGAGGAUACGAUCCUGCCUGAGGAUACGAUCCUGCCACGGGCAAAAGGAACCCACUGGGAGACUCCGGAAGUGGCCAUGCUUCCUCCCGACUGGCACCUGUGCAGGGGCUGGCCGCCACCCAUGGCACAGUGUCUCACAGAGGGCGGGGCUGGCCGAGGAGGCAGGAAAGAGCUGUUGUGCUGAUGAGGUGCCGUCGUGUCACACGGACAGGAGUGCCAGAAUUCAGAGGAAGCGCGGGCCUAGGCCGUGGCCAGAACAUCCAGCCUGGCUUUGUGAAUAUCCUGAUGCUUUGAGCUACCCUCAUUCCAACUGCCCGGCCAGGGAAAGGCUGAAGAGGACUGAGCAGUACUCCAAACACGGAAGAGACUAAGAGUGUUGGACUAGCUCGGAGGGCAGGUGGAUCCUGUACAGAGAAGAUCUCUUGGAUGAGUAGUCCUUUGAGCAGGAGGUUGUGAAGCUCCAAGGGGGCAGGGCACAGGAGUUCCCUUGGUUUACAGCAAAAGGAUGAGGACCAGAAGAUUCUGGAAGAAUAAGGAAGAGGAAAGGAAGGGUGGGGAAUCUGCUCCAGCUCCACCCUGCACUCUGGAUCCUCAAACCAUUGCUCUACUUUUCCUUACCUGCCUGUGGGUCUCCUAGACCUGGGAUCUCUGAUUCCAGGUAACAGACAAAGCCCCUGUCCCUUUGUCCUCCAUUCCCCACUUCCCAGCCCCUGCCUCCCCGCAGCUGUGAUAACCCACACGUAGCACUCUGCCCUCUGGAAUUUAUUUUAAGGUCUUGGCUUGUUUAUUUAUUUUAUUUAGAGAUUUCUCGGUGCUUUGUGGGGAGGAAAAUUCGAAUGGGGCGAUUAUGAAAUACUAUUUCACCUCGCUGUUCAUUCACAACAAACAAAGAGAAAUGAUUGGUG
This 1099-nucleotide long non-coding RNA is filed under the name Equus caballus (horse). Its description in RNAcentral is "lncRNA (ENSECAG00000033916.3)". The record is from RNAcentral. Lineage: Eukaryota; Metazoa; Chordata; Mammalia; Perissodactyla; Equidae.